Non-coding RNA from Streptomyces acidiscabies, 75 nucleotides. It matches the Rfam family "ASpks TB sRNA". NCBI's taxonomy places the organism in Bacteria, Bacillati, Actinomycetota, Actinomycetes, Kitasatosporales, Streptomycetaceae. The record is from Rfam.
UUUGACCGAUCCCAGCCACAGCGGGCGAUCUUCCGGCCGGUCCUGUCCGUAGGUCGCCAACAGGGCUUGGGCCUC